GACGAAGGUGGCGAGCGUUACUCGGAAUUACUAGGCGUAAAGCGUGGGUAGGUGGCUUAGCAAGUCUGUUGUGAAAGCUCCCGGCUUAACCGGGAGAGGCCAAUGGAUACUGCUAGGCUUGAAUCUGGGAGAGGUCACUGGAAUUCCUGGUGUAGCGGUGAAAUGCGUAGAGAUCAGGAGGAACACCAAUGGCGAAAGCAGGUGACUGGACCAGUAUUGACACUCAGCCACGAAAGCUAGGGGAGCAAACAGG
This 253-nucleotide ribosomal RNA is filed under the name uncultured bacterium. RNAcentral's name for it is "partial 16S ribosomal RNA". It matches the Rfam family "Bacterial small subunit ribosomal RNA", at positions 524 to 776 of the family's 1533-position model. The record is from RNAcentral.